Molecule: ribosomal RNA, 497 nt
Filed under: uncultured bacterium
Lineage: Bacteria
Description: partial 16S ribosomal RNA
Rfam family: Bacterial small subunit ribosomal RNA
Source: RNAcentral
GAUGAACGCUGGCGGCGUGCCUAAUACAUGCAAGUCGAGCGAACAGACGAGGAGCUUGCUCCUCUGACGUUAGCGGCGGACGGGUGAGUAACACGUGGAUAACCUACCUGUAAGACUGGGAUAACUUCGGGAAACCGGAGCUAAUACCGGAUAAUAUAUUGAACCGCAUGGUUCAAUAGUGAAAGACGGUUUUGCUGUCACUUAUAGAUGGAUCCGCGCCGCAUUAGCUAGUUGGUAAGGUAACGGCUUACCAAGGCGACGAUGCGUAGCCGACCUGAGAGGGUGAUCGGCCACACUGGAACUGAGACACGGUCCAGACUCCUACGGGAGGCAACAGUAGGGAAUAUUCCGCAAUGGGGGAAAGCCUGACGGAACAAAGCCGCGUGAGUGAUGAAGGUCUUCGGAUCGUAAAACUCUUUUAUGAGGGAAGAAAAAAUGGGUAAGUAACUAUGCACGUCUUGACGGUAACUAAUCAGAAAGCCACGGCUAACUACGUG